UGAUUGGCUACUAGUCCUUACCUGGGGACUGCGCAUGUGCAACUCCCAACAAAGAUUUUGUACAAGGGGUGUGGCAGCUGGCUCAGCACCUGGCUCUCCUCCACACCUGCAGCAGAUCAGCUCAUCACCGCUCUUCUCUUAAGCUCCAACCUCCUGGAGGGUCGGUGCCAGAUUGUUUUUAUUUUUUUUUAUUUUGCCAUCCGUGACCUCCACUGCCUCGUGCCACCUCACAUCGCCAGCCACACAGCCACUCAUGGAUCCCCAAGCUCUCUAGCUUCCCAGUCUGGACUUCCAAACCCUCACCUAGUUAACUGUUUUGUUCUCGAGAAUAAACCUGUUUUUCUCCACA
Micropterus dolomieu (smallmouth bass) is the source of this 349-nucleotide long non-coding RNA. RefSeq lists it as uncharacterized. The record is from RefSeq and is a predicted model, not a curated record. NCBI's taxonomy places the organism in Eukaryota, Metazoa, Chordata, Actinopteri, Centrarchiformes, Centrarchidae. The transcript has 2 exons.